UGUAUCCAUUAUUUCCACCACAUGAAAAAUAAUAAACCAAGUACCACAUUUGACAGAUUUCAGAACUGAUGAGACAAAUAAAUACACUCUCCAUAUUGCUCACUCAUCUUUUCUCACCCCACCCCACCCCAAAAAAAAAGUGCUCUUCUCUCGUAAACUUGUUCAAGGACAAAUGUAUCAUCUCAUUAAUGACCUGAUUCCCGUGGAUCAAAAAGGUGCUGAUGCUCAGUUCCUGGAUCGCACCUAGAUUCUUAGAUUAUCAAUAGUACAGUAGCAGCGGUGAGUCCUCAUCAUCUGGGGACAGAUUAUACUACUUCAUGUCCUUAUCUCAGUAGUUAGUAGAGUUAGUUGGGGCCUAUCCCAUCAACUCACAGUAUUCAGUUUAGAGGC
Molecule: long non-coding RNA, 390 nt
Organism: Capsicum annuum
Lineage: Eukaryota; Viridiplantae; Streptophyta; Magnoliopsida; Solanales; Solanaceae
Exons: 3
Source: RefSeq, a predicted model, not a curated record